RNAcentral lists this ribosomal RNA (274 nucleotides) under uncultured bacterium. RNAcentral's name for it is "partial 16S ribosomal RNA". It matches the Rfam family "Bacterial small subunit ribosomal RNA", at positions 523 to 796 of the family's 1533-position model. The record is from RNAcentral.
AUACGGAGGGUGCAAGCGUUAAUCGGAAUUACUGGGCGUAAAGCGUACGUAGGCGGUUCGUUAAGUUAGAUGUGAAAGCCCCGGGCUUAACCUGGGAACUGCAUUUAAAACUGGCGAACUAGAGUUGAGUAGAGGGGAGUGGAAUUUCAGGUGUAGCGGUGAAAUGCGUAGAGGUCUGAAGGAACACCAGUGGCGAAGGCGGCUCCCUGGACUCAAACUGACGCUGAGGUACGAAAGCGUGGGUAGCAAACGGGAUUAGAAACCCUAGUAGUCC